CAGUAGCCGCGGUAAUACGGAGGGAGCUAGCGUUGUUCGGAAUCACUGGGCGUAAAGCGCACGUAGGCGGCUAUUCAAGUCAGGGGUGAAAGCCCGGGGCUCAACCCCGGAACUGCCUUUGAAACUAGAUAGCUUGAAUCUUGGAGAGGCGAGUGGAAUUCCGAGUGUAGAGGUGAAAUUCGUAGAUAUUCGGAAGAACACCAGUGGCGAAGGCGACUCGCUGGACAAGUAUUGACGCUGAGGUGCGAAAGCGUGGGGAGCAAACAGGAUUAGAUACCCGCGUAGUCCCUGUCUCUUAUAU
This 301-nucleotide ribosomal RNA is filed under the name uncultured bacterium. RNAcentral describes it as "partial 16S ribosomal RNA". It matches the Rfam family "Bacterial small subunit ribosomal RNA", at positions 509 to 809 of the family's 1533-position model. The record is from RNAcentral.